RNAcentral lists this ribosomal RNA (463 nucleotides) under uncultured bacterium. RNAcentral describes it as "partial 16S ribosomal RNA". It matches the Rfam family "Bacterial small subunit ribosomal RNA", at positions 338 to 795 of the family's 1533-position model. The record is from RNAcentral.
CCUACGGGAGGCAGCAGUGAGGAAUAUUGGUCAAUGGGCGCGAGCCUGAACCAGCCAAGUAGCGUGAAGGAUGACUGCCCUACGGGUUGUAAACUUCUUUUAUAAAGGAAUAAAGUGAGGCACGUGUGCCUUUUUGUAUGUACUUUAUGACUAAGAAGCCCCGGCUAACUACGUGCCAGCACCCGCGGUAAUACGUAGGGGGCAAGCGUUAUACGGAUUUACUGGGUGUAAAGGGGGCGCAGACGGCAGCGUAAGCCAGGGGUGAAAGCCCGGGACCCAACCCCGGGACUGCUCUUGGAACUGCGCGGCUGGAGUGCAGGAGGGGCAGGCGGAAUGCCUGGUGUAGCGGUGAAAUGCGUAGAUAUCAGGAGGAACACCGGUGGCGAAGGCGUCCUGCUGGACUGCGACUGACGUUGAGGCCCGAAAGCGUGGGGAGCAAACAGGAUUAGAUACCCUAGUAGUC